This is a long non-coding RNA of Procambarus clarkii (red swamp crayfish), 2577 nucleotides long. RefSeq lists it as uncharacterized. Lineage: Eukaryota; Metazoa; Arthropoda; Malacostraca; Decapoda; Cambaridae. The record is from RefSeq and is a predicted model, not a curated record.
UAAUUAUAAACAUAAGUCAACCCAGCACUUGCAUAAGGGUUUCAUAUGUGUAGCCGCUCGACGCCCCGAGCCUCGCUGGUUAACGCCGCCUAACUUGCCAACCCAACAAGUUGACGCGCCUCGCCGCCACUCUCAGAAUAACUGUGGACGCUGUCCACAGCACCAGCACCACUCAAGAGCUCCCUGACUGCCGAAUGACAUUGGUGAAGCCAAGCAGUCAUCCAUUAAGCAGUAGGGGGCGCAGUAUACCUGGGUACUGACAACUUAGUUAGCCAUUGGAACACCAUUGGGAAAAGGUGGCGCACAACGCUAUUGGCAUUCACUAACGAACAAACAAUCGUGUCCGCCUGUUAUGACAGGUGAGAAGAGACCCGAUCACGGCUGGUGCACUCUUGCAGCGGUACUGCUACCCGUUGAGGACGGGGGUAGCAGCCGAGUUAAUCUACUUCAUGAUUCCAAUAUGGUACAAUGAAGGUUAAGAUGCGGAACCCACGGUCACGAAGAGUGAAAGUUUUUAAGAUCUGCAGCAUCACGACGAAAGCUCCUACCGACAGAUGAACUUUGUCUCAUAAAGUCACUUUAACUAACCACGUAACAGAAAAUGACACUACGACGAUGUGUGGUUUUGUCUUCAUAUCUUGAGCCACGUUAGUGACUCUUCUGCACAUGUAUGCCACGCGUAAGCGUCUUGCUAUUUAACUUCUUAAAUUCCCUACCUUCCUUUAAACAGCCGUUUAGCGCCUUGGUCUUCCCUUGUUAUCGCAAAGAGUCGCAAGAACCAGCUUAGGUUUCUUAGACUGUCUUCCGGAGCAAGUUCUCCCUCGUUCCUUAUCUCACUUUCUCCAAUUAACACUUCGGGGCUAUACUUUUUCUGAACAUGUUGUCGUUUCUGAUUUAAUUACUCAGAACGAAGUGUCCAUGUAGCACGGCCUAUGGUGAGCCCGUAAACCUUCUGAACAUGCCCGCCUUCUACUUCAAGAACUUGUUCACUCAAAAUCCUUGCAAGUUGACUAUGCUUUUCUAACAGUACGUCAACACCGUUUUCUGUCUUCUCUUCAAUGAUCUAUGUAAUCCUGUAUUUCCCGUCUCUUUUUAACACUGCUCGCCUCUCUUCUCACCACUCCUCCACACUACACGACAAACUUCAACGUCUGAUUUCCAACAGUAUUUGGGCUAAAUACACUCCGACUGUUACCAACCUUUCUUUUUCCCCCCUCUAAGUACCAGCAAGAACGUCUAGGAUUUGGUCGCUUGUUACUUCCUCUGGCUUUCGCUGUGGCAUUUACCUAAUUAGUUCUUUUGCUAAGUUUGUCAACCCUAACUCUAGUACUCUAUCGGACCGGUCUUCCUUCAUGGGGGGGGGGGGGCCUUAUACCCAUUCUUGAGUUUCUAAAAAUCACCUUCCGUGUCUCUUUCAGCUUACCCUUGCCUCCCUGAAAGCUAACAACUCUCUAUUCUUAUCCUUCCUUCCGACAAAGGCAACUCGGUGGUUGGCCUUGACAGUGGAUUUCCCCCAGAAAGCUGAUAGUCUUGCUCUCUGACUCCCGCACAUGUCCUCGUCUGGCUUCUAACACUUUGGAUCGCCUUAAAACUUCCUUCAACCGUGAACCAUGACGGCUCUCUAGGCUUGGAUCGAAGUCAGGACGACAAAUUAAACGUUUGUCAUCUGCCAUUAUCUUCCUUAUUUCUAUAUUCUACCUAAGACUUAGACCUGGUGUUCCUCUUCGUCCUGAAAUUUCUUAAAGGGGCUCUGUCGGCUACUUAUCUUGGCACUUUCUCCUGCCCACCUUCGUCACUCUCAGGACUUCCUAAAUAAACUGCUCCUGCGGCCCUCUUCUAAGAUGCUUAGUCGGUGUAGAUUGUUUACUAAUGUUCUCCUUGAUGACUCUUUCCUUAAUCAUAAGGCAACGGAGGGCCUUCAUCUCUCGCUCCCCACUAACGUUUUCCUUUAAUUCAUCAGACUGUGUUGACUCUAAUUCCUUCUUUUUCAACGGAAAAUACUUCUAACUUUCGGGGUCGCUAUGGGUUGCCCUCUAUCCCCCUCCCCAGGUCUUGCUAAUCUUGAUAUGGAAUAUUUCGAAACUGUUCUUUUUCUCACAAUUGAUACUCUUCCCUCUUUCUGGCUUCGCUAUGUUGACAUUUUUUGCUUUAUGGCCUAAUGACCUUCCAGCCUUUCCUCUCCUUAACAAUCUGGCUCUCGCUAUCCAUUUCAAAGUUGAAUGGGAAUCUAAUUCCCUCCUUACUUUUUUAACGUUCAUGUUCACAGCCGUGUCAAGUUUGUCUACCGCAAACCCACGUAUGUACACUUAUUUUCCUACCAUCCUCCUGUUAAGAAAAGCGUUCUCGUCUCUUCCUCCGUGCUCUACACAUUAGUGACCCUCGGUUUCUUGAUUCUGAAAUUUCCUUUAUUUACUAAUCUUUUUCUCGCCUUGGUUACUCUUUGCAUUUUCUUAACUGUGCCUAUUUUAAAGCUAAAAGAAAUUUUUCAUCCCAAACCCCUUUUCCACCACUAGUACCCCUGUGCUCUGCCUUUCAUAUCCGAACUGAAAUCUUGCUAAUACCCUUCGUUCUCUUGAC